GUGGGUGACCUGCCUUCGAGUGGGGGAUAACGCUCCGAAAGGGACGCUAAUACCGCAUAACAUCCUGCCUUUUAAGAGGUGGAGAUCAAAGCCUGGGACCGCAAGGCCAGGCGCUCAAAGAGGGGCCCGCGUCUGAUUAGCUAGUUGGUGGGGUAAUGGCUCACCAAGGCUUCGAUCAGUAUCCGGCCUGAGAGGGCGGACGGACACACUGGGACUGAGACACGGCCCAGACUCCUACGGGAGGCAGCAGUGGGGAAUUGUUCGCAAUGGGCGCAAGCCUGACGACGCAACGCCGCGUGGAGGAUGAAGAUCUUCGGGUCGUAAACUCCUUUCGAUCGAGACGAAUGGCCUCUGGGUGAACAAUCCAGAGGAGUGACGGUACCGAGAGAAGAAGCCCCGGCUAACUCCGUGCCAGCAGCCGCGGUAAUACGGGGGGGGCAAGCGUUGUUCGGAAUUACUGGGCGUAAAGGGCUCGUAGGUGGCCAACUAAGUCAGACGUGAAAUCCCUCGGCUUAACCGGGGAACUGCGUCUGAUACUGGAUGGCUUGAGUUUGGGAGAGGGACGCGGAAUU
Molecule: ribosomal RNA, 572 nt
Filed under: uncultured Acidobacteriaceae bacterium
Lineage: Bacteria; Pseudomonadati; Acidobacteriota; Terriglobia; Terriglobales; Acidobacteriaceae
Description: bacterial SSU rRNA
Rfam family: Bacterial small subunit ribosomal RNA
Source: RNAcentral